Non-coding RNA from Camellia sinensis, 998 nucleotides. The record is from RefSeq and is a predicted model, not a curated record. NCBI's taxonomy places the organism in Eukaryota, Viridiplantae, Streptophyta, Magnoliopsida, Ericales, Theaceae.
AUUAGACUAAGACGAAAUGACAAUGGCUUCUUUGAUCAACAGGUCUUUGACUUCUAUCUGCAACUCCAAAUCAGCUAUUGGCAUCGAAACUCGAUUUCCGAGUCCUUUUCUCGUUGGGUUCACUUCUCCGAUCCUCAUCAAUUCCGGGAAGGUCUCUUCUUCGAUAGUCUGCAAAGCUGUGUCUGUGAAGCCCCAAACUGACAUUGAAGGCCUCAACAUUGCCGAUUGCCGAUGAAGUCUGAGCAUGAUAAAUUUUUUGUUGGAGGAUUCCUUAAAUUGCAGUUACUUGUAGAUUUUGAUCUUUCCUUUUGUUCAAGAGAAAUGGAGAAUAAUGGUUUGCUUUUGUUGGUAGAAAAGUAGGCCUUAACGUGCCAGGUUCACCCUAUUUAAUUGAUUUCCAGCCAACUGCUCCUGAGUCAUCUAGAAUGAGACUUAUGAACGUGACUACUAAUUCGUGUGGUGAUUACUUCACUUGGCUGUUCUUGUGGUGAUUGCCCUGCGGCUCCUGUUUGCUCUGAUUCAGCUCCUCCUUCCUCUGUAAAAAAAGGCUCCUGUUCAGUGAGAAUUGAGUCUCUUAAGAUCUUGCAAUGAAAUUGGGAAACAUUACAAAGCACCAUAGUGGAGGAGACAUUGAGAAUCCUGCCGACUGCUUUAUUUUUGGUUUGACUUUUGGUAAGCUUUGAACCUUUAAUCUCAAUACUACAUAUUCUGUUGAGUGCUAGCCUGUUGGGUUUCGAUCUUCAUUACUAUUUGGCAUUAAAUUUCCAUAGUAAUUUGUUGAAUUAUGGUGGUGGCUGGCUAGUGGUACUUAGGACAACAGGUUUUUGGAUGUGGCAAAUAUAAUCAGAGCCGACCACAUAAACACAAGGAUCAUUGUUCUGGACUGACCAAGAGUUGAUUGUGGUAUUAGGAUUGAUUAUGGACAUACCGGAGUAUAAAAGGGUAGUUUGUAACAAUCUUGUCCCACAUGGGAAGUUUUCAUGGGUGAUCUUUUGUUU